RNAcentral lists this long non-coding RNA (338 nucleotides) under Homo sapiens (human). RNAcentral's name for it is "HSALNT0199845". The record is from RNAcentral. Lineage: Eukaryota; Metazoa; Chordata; Mammalia; Primates; Hominidae.
CCCUCAUCCUCAUUCCACCAUGUAAAUACAGAGCAAGAAUAUACUGGUCUAUGAACCAAGAAGUGGCACCUUGAUCUUGGACUUCCCAGCCUUCAGAACUUGGGAAGAAGGAGAAGGAGGAGGAGGAGGAGGAGAAGAAGAGGAAAAAGAAGAGGAAGAAGAAGAGGAAGAAAGAAGAAGAAGAAGACCCUGAAGGCUUUCUUAGAAGAGGAAGAAGGAGAGGAAGAAAGAAGAAGAAGAAGGAGGAGAAGGAGAAGGAGAAGGAGGAGAAGGAGAAGGAGAAGAAGAAGACCCUGAAGGCCUUCCUAGGUCUCCAAUGUGAUACUAGUUGAUAUUAC